AGCGAACGCUGGCGGCAGGCUUAACACAUGCAAGUCGAACGGGCGUAGCAAUACGUCAGUGGCAGACGGGUGAGUAACGCGUGGGAACGUACCUUUUGGUUCGGAACAACCCAGGGAAACUUGGGCUAAUACCGGAUAAGCCCUUACGGGGAAAGAUUUAUCGCCGAAAGAUCGGCCCGCGUCUGAUUAGCUAGUUGGUGAGGUAAUGGCUCACCAAGGCUACGAUCAGUAGCUGGUCUGAGAGGAUGAUCAGCCACAUUGGGACUGAGACACGGCCCAAACUCCUACGGGAGGCAGCAGUGGGGAAGUCUUGGGACAAUGGGCGGCAAGCCUGAUCCAGCCAUGCCGCGUGAGUGAUGAAGGCCUUAGGGUU
This 373-nucleotide ribosomal RNA is filed under the name uncultured bacterium. RNAcentral's name for it is "bacterial SSU rRNA". It matches the Rfam family "Bacterial small subunit ribosomal RNA", at positions 29 to 424 of the family's 1533-position model. The record is from RNAcentral.